GCCUCGGUGGAGUAGUGGUAGAGCACGCGUCCCCGGAUAGGAUGAAACGAGGGUGCGAUUCCCGCUUGAAGCC
Non-coding RNA from Parelaphostrongylus tenuis, 73 nucleotides. Lineage: Eukaryota; Metazoa; Nematoda; Chromadorea; Rhabditida; Metastrongylidae. The record is from the annotation of a GenBank genome assembly.